This 405-nucleotide ribosomal RNA is filed under the name uncultured bacterium. RNAcentral's name for it is "partial 16S ribosomal RNA". It matches the Rfam family "Bacterial small subunit ribosomal RNA", at positions 30 to 526 of the family's 1533-position model. The record is from RNAcentral.
AUUGAACGCUGGCGGCAGGCCUAACACAUGCAAGUCGAACGAGUGGCGGACGGGUGAGUAAUGUCUGGGAACUGCCCGAUGGAGGGGGAUAACUAUUGGAAACGAUAGCUAAUACCGCAUACUGUGAGCUUGUCCUGCGUUGUAUUUGUUAGUUGGGUAGGUAAAGGCUCACCAAGGCGACGAUACAUAGCCGACCUGAGAGGGUGAUCGGCCACACUGGGACUGAGACACGGCCCAGACGCCUACGGGAGGCAGCAGUAGGGAAUCUUCGGCAAUGGACGGAAGUCUGACCGAGCAACGCCGCGUGAGUGAAGAAGGUUUUCGGAUCGGAAAGCUCUGUUGUUAGAGAAGCGGUAACUAACCAGAAAGGGACGGCUAACUACGUGCCAGCAGCCGCGGUAAUAC